This 438-nucleotide ribosomal RNA is filed under the name uncultured bacterium. RNAcentral describes it as "partial 16S ribosomal RNA". It matches the Rfam family "Bacterial small subunit ribosomal RNA", at positions 339 to 795 of the family's 1533-position model. The record is from RNAcentral.
CUACGGGAGGCUCCAGUGAGGAAUAUUGCACAAUGGGGGGAACCCUGAUGCAGCAACGCCGCGUGGAGGAUGACGCAUUUCGGUGUGUAAACUCCUUUUAUAUGUCAAGAAAAUGACGGUAGCAUAUGAAUAAGCACCGGCUAACUCCGUGCCAGCAGCCGCGGUAAUACGGAGGGUGCAAGCGUUACUCGGAAUCACUGGGCGUAAAGGACGCGCAGGCGGGUUGGAAAGUCAGGUGUGAAAUCCUACAGCUUAACUGUAGAACUGCACUGGAACUUCUAAUCUAGAGUAUGGGAGGGGGAGAUGGAAUUCGUGGUGUAGGGGUAAAAUCCGUAGAUAUCACUAGGAAUACCUAAAGCGAAGGCGAUCUCCUGGAACAUUACUGACGCUAAGGCGUGAAAGCGUGGGGAGCAAACAGGAUUAGAUACCCUUGUAGUC